AAUGACUAGUGCAUUAUGAUUUAUGAAAAUAAAAUAACUUGGGUCAAAGUCGCAAUCUUAGCAGCUGGCGACGGUUCCAGUUGCAAAAAACCGCUGGUGGGUAGCAGUAAGGCUGCCAGUGGGAUGAAUAAGUUCUAUCACAGUCGACAAAACAGAGCUCGAUCUUCUACGCAGAAAAUAAGCAUCGUUUUCUCAUGACAAAUGUCAUCAGCGCAACAGGUCAGAGUGGUCGGAGCUUUCUCACAUACUUUACACAGAAUCUUCAUCUUCUGCAACACAAAUCAGAUACACGGGUUGACGACGGCACAUGUUGAGUUAAUCGAAAUCCCCUCUUGAUGCCUUAACCAUGGAACGUAGAACGAUUGUUCAAAAAAAAAAAAAAAAAGAGAAGACAUGAGGGAUGAAGAGAAGAAGCUAGGAAGCAUGUGAAAUGUCAGGACACCAUCGUGAUGACACUUGGAUAGCAUAUAUAUAGGGGGCGUGUUGUUAUGUGUUAAGGAAUGAUCCUGUGGAUGAGGAUGCAGAUGUUGGUCGGAAUGAGCCCCCUGUUUCAAGCUAUACGCCAGCUGGACAAGAAAAUGGAACAAGCAAGAAAAGUGACAUAGGGACGAUAUCAAGAACCUCAAGUGCUAGACUCUCUUGUCAUGAACAAGUUGAGAAAUUAAUAGUUUUGCUCUUAAACAGGGGAUGCAGAGCAACAAUCAUGUUGGGUUAUAAUGCUAGAGGAAUUUGCCAAGGAAGCUCGACAUUGUUUUAGAGAAAUAGAGGGGGAACGAGAAAAGAUAGUUAACUCUCUCUAUCCAACACCAGAUCGACUAGGGCUAACCUCUUGGUACCAUUUUUAAACCUGUUUAAUCACAUUUACAACUUGAUUACUACAGUCAAACUUUUUAAUUAAACUGUCAAAACGGGUUAAUGUGGGGGUAGAUACCCAGAACCAUUACCUAUCUGAUGUCCAGAUGCUUGAAGCAGGUUUCGAGUUUAACUUGGUUGACCGGACCUCGGGCUUACGAUUUAUAUAAAUUUACCUUAUAUUAUGUAAUUUCUUCCUCAUUUAUAUAUAUAGAAAAA
Helianthus annuus (common sunflower) is the source of this 1071-nucleotide long non-coding RNA. RefSeq lists it as uncharacterized. Lineage: Eukaryota; Viridiplantae; Streptophyta; Magnoliopsida; Asterales; Asteraceae. The transcript is spliced from 6 exons. The record is from RefSeq and is a predicted model, not a curated record.